UUUUGGAAAGGGUUUUGUCAUGGGACGAAACAUAUUAUUCACGGCCUUGAAGUUAACUGCUAUCCUCAUUGGGUUAAGAAUCUUAGUUUUGUUCACUUCCACAUUUGACCCAAGUCUUCUUCUGAAAGUGUUAUUCCCUUUUGAGGCCAUGAUUGAUGUCAAUUGAGAUUUUGACUACUCAACUUAGUGCUUUGAAACUCUUUUCAUUCUGCUGUGAGCUAGCUCUAUAACUGUUCUCUCUCUCUUUGUGACUGAUUAUUAUUUAUUUGUGCUAUGUAAUUUUUUUUCUAUAAUUUUAUGUAUUCUUGCAGUCGAUGGAGAAGAACAAGGCUGGAUGGAUGACCCUGUUUGAGCCUUUCCCAUUUUUUGAAGUAUACGGAAAUUAUUUGCAGAUAGAUAUAUAGCAGCUAAGAAUGAUGAUGACUUGAGGAAAUGGAAAGGCUGGGUUGGGUCUCGGAUUCGCCAGCUUACUCUGAAGAUUGAGAGGGACCCAAAAAGCAUGCUUCAGUGCCACCCACACCCUGGUGAAUUUUCUGAUAAAUCCAGACCGUUUCAUUAUUGUUAUUUCAUGGGUCUGUGGCGGAAAACAAGCACUAAUGCUCAGGAAGGUGAACAAUUCGAUUUGAGGUUGACUCUGGAGGAAUUUAAGCGCUGUGUGUUAAUGUACAUCUCCUGGAGUCCUGGAAUGUGGAUCCAUGUAUGCCAUGUAAGACGUAAGAACAUUCCUCCUUUUGUAUUCGGCCACCCCAACUUACAAAAGUAGCUGGAGAGACUCUUUCUACUGCAAAAACAAAGCAUGGAGGCAAGUGGCAGCAGCCUCUUAAGGUGUACAAGAGACGAGGAAGAGAUGCCUCUAAGGCCUAAGCUUUGAUUUGGCAUGCAUUGGAUGAUGAACACCUUAUUUGGGACCGUGCCUAGUUAUGUUUUAGGCUUAUGAGUCAUGUUUUAUUAUUAUUAUUUUAGUUUAGGGUAUUUCGGUAAUUUCAUAAUUUGUAGACAUAGGUUAUACGGAUUGCUCAUGGGUCGUCUUGUGGGUCAAGUUAUUAGAUUUUAUUUAUGUUCCUUAUUUAGUCUUAAAUUAGUUUUGGAAGUCCAAACUAUUAUACUAGUUUCCUUUUUUGGUUCUAAUUGGUUUAGGAAGUCUCUUAGUUCUAUAUAAAGCCAUGUAAUGCUUUUAAUUAUAUAGACUUGAUAUUUCAGAGAA
Molecule: non-coding RNA, 1204 nt
Organism: Camellia sinensis
Lineage: Eukaryota; Viridiplantae; Streptophyta; Magnoliopsida; Ericales; Theaceae
Source: RefSeq, a predicted model, not a curated record